ACUACGGGUGGCAGCAGUGGGGGAUAUUGCACAAUGGGGGAAACCCUGAUGCAGCGACGCCGCGUGAGUGAAGAAGUAUUUCGGUAUGUAAAGCUCUAUCAGCAGGGAAGAAAAUGACAGUACCUGACCAAGAAGCCCCGGCUAACUACGUGCCAGCAGCCGCGGUAACACGUAGGGGGCAAGCGUUAUCCGGAUUUACUGGGUGUAAAGGGAGCGUAGACGGGGUUGUAAGUCUGAAGUGAAAGCCCGGGGCCCAACCCCGGGACUGCAUUGGAAACUGUAUAGCUGGAGUACAGGAGGGGCAAGCGGAAUUCCUGGUGUAGCGGUGAAAUGCGUAGAUAUCAGGAGGAACACCAGCGGCGAAGGCGGCCUGCUGGACUGAAACUGACGUUGAGGCUCGAAAGCGUGGGGAGCAAACAGGAUUAGAUACCCGGGUAGUC
RNAcentral lists this ribosomal RNA (440 nucleotides) under uncultured bacterium. RNAcentral describes it as "partial 16S ribosomal RNA". It matches the Rfam family "Bacterial small subunit ribosomal RNA", at positions 338 to 795 of the family's 1533-position model. The record is from RNAcentral.